This 72-nucleotide transfer RNA is filed under the name bacterium. RNAcentral describes it as "tRNA-Arg". It matches the Rfam family "tRNA". From Rfam's summary of the family: Transfer RNA (tRNA) molecules are approximately 80 nucleotides in length. Their secondary structure includes four short double-helical elements and three loops (D, anti-codon, and T loops). The record is from RNAcentral.
GUCCUCAUAGUUCAACGGAUAGAACACAGGUUUCCUAAACCUGGAAUGGAGGUUCAAUUCCUCCUGGGGAUA